CCUACGGGAGGCAGCAGUGAGGAAUAUUGGACAAUGGGGGCAACCCUGAUCCAGCCAUGCCGCGUGUGUGAAGAAGGCUUUCGGGUUGUAAAGCACUUUCAGUGAGGAGGAAGGCCUUAAGGUUAAUACCCUUGAGGAUUGACGUUACUCACAGAAGAAGCACCGGCUAACUCCGUGCCAGCAGCCGCGGUAAU
Molecule: ribosomal RNA, 194 nt
Filed under: uncultured bacterium
Lineage: Bacteria
Description: partial 16S ribosomal RNA
Rfam family: Bacterial small subunit ribosomal RNA
Source: RNAcentral